This 489-nucleotide ribosomal RNA is filed under the name uncultured bacterium. Its description in RNAcentral is "partial 16S ribosomal RNA". It matches the Rfam family "Bacterial small subunit ribosomal RNA", at positions 30 to 507 of the family's 1533-position model. The record is from RNAcentral.
UUGAACGCUGGCGGCAGGCCUAACACCUGCAAGUCGAACGGUAACAGAAAGCAGCUUGCUGCUUUGCUGACGAGUGGCGGACGGGUGAGUAAUGUCUGGGAAACUGCCUGAUGGAGGGGGAUAACUACUGGAAACGGUAGCUAAUACCGCAUAACGUCGCAAGACCAAAGAGGGGGACCUUCGGGCCUCUUGCCAUCGGAUGUGCCCAGAUGGGAUUAGCUAGUAGGUGGGGUAACGGCUCACCUAGGCGACGAUCCCUAGCUGGUCUGAGAGGAUGACCAGCCACACUGGAACUGAGACACGGUCCAGACUCCUACGGGAGGCAGCAGUGGGGAAUAUUGCACAAUGGGCGCAAGCCUGAUGCAGCCAUGCCGCGUGUAUGAAGAAGGUCUUCGGGUUGUAAAGUACUUUCAGCGGGGAGGAAGGGAGUAAAGUUAAUACCUUUGCUCAUUGACGUUACCCGCAGAAGAAGCACCGGCUAACUCCGUG